Molecule: ribosomal RNA, 452 nt
Filed under: Schaalia odontolytica
Lineage: Bacteria; Bacillati; Actinomycetota; Actinomycetes; Actinomycetales; Actinomycetaceae
Description: bacterial SSU rRNA
Rfam family: Bacterial small subunit ribosomal RNA
Source: RNAcentral
GACGAACGCUGGCGGCGUGCUUAACACAUGCAAGUCGAACGCUGAAGCCUAGCUUGCUGGGUGGAUGAGUGGCGAACGGGUGAGUAACACGUGAGUAACCUGCCCCCUUCUUUGGGAUAACGCCCGGAAACGGGUGCUAAUACUGGAUAUUCACUGAUCUUCGCAUGGGGGUUGGUGGAAAGGUUUUUUCUGGUGGGGGAUGGGCUCGCGGCCUAUCAGCUUGUUGGUGGGGUGAUGGCCUACCAAGGCUUUGACGGGUAGCCGGCCUGAGAGGGUGACCGGUCACAUUGGGACUGAGAUACGGCCCAGACUCCUACGGGAGGCAGCAGUGGGGAAUAUUGCACAAUGGGCGGAAGCCUGAUGCAGCGACGCCGCGUGAGGGAUGGAGGCCUUCGGGUUGUAAACCUCUUUCGCUCAUGGUCAAGCCGCAACACUGGUUGUGGUGAGGGUAG